This 702-nucleotide long non-coding RNA is filed under the name Fukomys damarensis (Damara mole-rat). RNAcentral describes it as "lncRNA (ENSFDAG00000030360.1)". The record is from RNAcentral. Lineage: Eukaryota; Metazoa; Chordata; Mammalia; Rodentia; Bathyergidae.
AUCAGUGUCCCUAACAAUCAGCACGGACUGAGAACCGAGGGGAGACUCCCACAACGUCAAAGCUUCAGGUCUGAACGCCCCACCCUCUCCUCACGCCUCAGGCUCUCUGAGGACCCCACCUCAGCCCCGACCAGGAGCCCGAGCCACCCAUCCUCUCCUGAGCAAUCAAAAGGAAGUCUCGGUCUGAAACUCCUGGGUUCACCAUCCUGGGACUCGGGCCACAUAUUGUACCGAAAAGUUUUCCUGUUGCCUCAGCACCGAGGAAACUGUAAGGGUUUUGGAAGCUUUAUGUCAGGAACUGGGGCAGAGACCAAAUACACUUAUUACAUCACAGACAUAAUAAAAGAAACUGGCUUAUUCAGAAAGUAUGUCUCAAAGUGUUUCAAAAAGAUUGACCUGUUGUGAGAUGAUUUUCCAAAAUGCACUGGUUUAAACUGUGAUCACAUUUCCUUAUGAUCACAGCUAUUAAAUCUUUUAAAGAAAAGAUCCUGGGGGAGCUCGUUGUUCCAUUAUGUAACUGAGUAUUCUAAUCUCUCAUUUCUUUUCUGCUAAUGCUGAAAAUGCUUAAUAAAUAUCGUAACACUGAUAAUAACUAUGAUCACACAGAAAUUGUAAUAGCUUCUAUGCUCUCCACUUUACUAAUUAUUUUACUUAAUCCUAAAAUAAUCACACAAAGUAAGCACUUUUACUCCCUACUUUUUA